AAGGGCGUUAAGGAUCGCGUGAAGG
This 25-nucleotide non-coding RNA is filed under the name Cricetulus griseus (Chinese hamster). Lineage: Eukaryota; Metazoa; Chordata; Mammalia; Rodentia; Cricetidae. The record is from RNAcentral.